UACGAAGGGGGCUAGCGUUGCUCGGAAUCACUGGGCGUAAAGGGUGCGUAGGCGGGUCUUUUAAGUCAGGGGUGAAAUCCUGGAGCUCAACUCCAGAACUGCCCUUGAUACUGAGGAUCUUGAGUUCGGGAGAGGUGAGUGGAACUGCGAGUGUAGAGGUGAAAUUCGUAGAUAUUCGCGAAGAACACCAGUGGCGAAGGCGGCUCACUGGCCCGAUACUGACGCUGAGGCACGAAAGCGUGGGGAGCAAACAGG
This 255-nucleotide ribosomal RNA is filed under the name uncultured bacterium. Its description in RNAcentral is "partial 16S ribosomal RNA". It matches the Rfam family "Bacterial small subunit ribosomal RNA", at positions 524 to 776 of the family's 1533-position model. The record is from RNAcentral.